GACAAGGUGGACAAGUGGUGAAGGCAAUGGACUGCUAAUCCAUUGUGUCCUGCACGCAUAGGAUCAAAUCCCAACCUCGUUG
This 82-nucleotide transfer RNA is filed under the name Merops nubicus (carmine bee-eater). It matches the Rfam family "tRNA". Rfam says of the family: Transfer RNA (tRNA) molecules are approximately 80 nucleotides in length. Their secondary structure includes four short double-helical elements and three loops (D, anti-codon, and T loops). The record is from Rfam by way of RNAcentral. Lineage: Eukaryota; Metazoa; Chordata; Aves; Coraciiformes; Meropidae.